RNAcentral lists this ribosomal RNA (792 nucleotides) under Triticum aestivum (bread wheat). RNAcentral's name for it is "partial small subunit ribosomal RNA". The record is from RNAcentral. Lineage: Eukaryota; Viridiplantae; Streptophyta; Magnoliopsida; Poales; Poaceae.
AUGUCACGCCUUCAGGUCCGCUCUUUCUCCAGCUCCGUUUCCUCAUGCGCCAACGAGCUGCUGAACGAACUCCACGACCAUCUUGGCUUCGGGACACUCAGGCCAGAGCUCGCGCACCAACUGUUCGACGAAAUGCUGCACCAACCUGUCACAGUAUCAGUACAUGCACUCAACGACUUAUUUGCUGCCCUCGCGCGUGCGCCGGCCUCACCUGCCUGCACCGAUGGCCCUGCCCUCGCCAUUGAUCUCUUCAACCGCAUGGCCCGAGCAGGCCGUCGCCAGGUGCUAGCACCCUCCAUGUACACCUACAACAUACUAAUUGAGUGUUGCCACCGAGCAUGCCGCCCAGACCUAGGGCCUGCCUUCUUCGGCCGCCUCCUCAAGACAGGCAUCAAGACGGAUGUCGUUACCUACAGCAGCUUACUCAAGUGCCUCUGUGACAUGAAGCGAAUGGAGGACGCUUUGGGCGUGCUGCUCCACAGGAUGCCCGACGACCUGCCUAAUGUCAUCUCCUACUCAGUAAUUCUCAAGAGUUUCUGCGACAGUGGUAGGAGCCAGCUUGCACUUGACUUGCUCCGGAUGAUGGCCGAAAAAGGAUCUGACCACUCUCCCAGCGUGGUGUUAUACAGCUUGGUAAUCGAUGGCUUCUUGAAGGAGGGUGAAAUAAGCAAAGCAUGCAAUUUGCUCCCUGAAAUGAUGCAGCAGGGGGUUGUGCCUGAUGUGGUGACGUAUAACUCCUUUAUCGAUGCGCUAUGCAAAGCAAGAGCAAUGGACACGGCAGAGGUAGUUCUU